This 491-nucleotide ribosomal RNA is filed under the name uncultured bacterium. RNAcentral's name for it is "partial 16S ribosomal RNA". It matches the Rfam family "Bacterial small subunit ribosomal RNA", at positions 28 to 507 of the family's 1533-position model. The record is from RNAcentral.
GAUGAACGCUGGCUACAGGCUUAACACAUGCAAGUCGAGGGGCAACGACGGGGAAGCUUGCUCUUACGGGUGUCGACUGGCGCACGGGUGAGUAAUGCGUCUCCAACCUGCCUUUGACUGAGGGAUAACCCGGCGAAAGUCGGCUUAAUACCCCAUGGUCUUGUCUGCGGGCAUCCAAAGACGUUUAACGUUUUCAUCGGUCAGGGACGGGGAUGCGUCUGAUUAGCUUGUUGGCGGGGUAACGGCCCACCAAGGCUACGAUAAGUAGGUGUUCUGAGAGGAAGGUCCCCCACAUUGGAACUAAGACACGGUCCAAACUCGUACGGGACGCAGCGGUGAGUAAGAUAAGUCAAUGAACGAUAGCCUAGACCAGCCGAGUAGCGGGCGAAAGGACUGGCGUAUGAGUGGUAUACUGCUUUGAUGCAAGGGUAGCGGGAGAAACGUGUCCCUCAUUGCAGGUACCGCAUGAAUAAGGACCGGCUAAUUCCGUG